GGUGGGUAUAGCUCAGUUGGUUAGAGCGCCAGAUUGUGGCUCUGGAGGUCGUGGGUUCGAAUCCCACUAUUCACCU
RNAcentral lists this transfer RNA (76 nucleotides) under Clostridiales bacterium. RNAcentral describes it as "tRNA-His". It matches the Rfam family "tRNA". From Rfam's summary of the family: Transfer RNA (tRNA) molecules are approximately 80 nucleotides in length. Their secondary structure includes four short double-helical elements and three loops (D, anti-codon, and T loops). Further hydrogen bonds mediate the characteristic L-shaped molecular structure. tRNAs have two regions of fundamental functional importance: the anti-codon, which is responsible for specific mRNA codon recognition, and the 3' end, to which the tRNAs corresponding amino acid is attached (by aminoacyl-tRNA synthetases). tRNAs cope with the degeneracy of the genetic code in two manners: having more than one tRNA (with a specific anti-codon) for a particular amino acid; and 'wobble' base-pairing, i.e. permitting non-standard base-pairing at the 3rd anti-codon position. Lineage: Bacteria; Bacillati; Bacillota; Clostridia; Eubacteriales. The record is from RNAcentral.